Molecule: long non-coding RNA, 963 nt
Filed under: Marmota monax (woodchuck)
Lineage: Eukaryota; Metazoa; Chordata; Mammalia; Rodentia; Sciuridae
Source: RNAcentral
CACACACACACACACAUAUCACAUUUUCUUUAUCCAUUUGUCUAUUGAUGGGUAUGUAGACUCAUUCCAGAACUUGUGGAUUGUGCUCAUGCUGAUGGAGACAUUGGUAUGUAUCACUACAGUAUGAUUAUUUUAGUUCUUUUGGAUAAAUACCAAGCAGUGGGGCAGGGGGAUAGCUGGGUCAUGUGGUGGUUUUAUUCCUAGUCUUUUAAGGAAUCUCCAUACUGCUUUCCAAAGUGAUUGUAAUAAUUUGCAGGUCCACCAACAAUACAUUAAGUGUAACUUUUCCCCAUAUUCUUGCCAUAAAUUAUUGGUAUUUGUAGUCUUGCUGAUUAUCCUUCUAACUGGAGUGAGAUGAAAUCUCAGUGUAGUUUUGCAUUUUCCUGAUUGUUAAGAAUGCUGAUCAUUUCUUCAUAAAUUUGUUGGCCAUUUGUACUUCUUUUGAGAAAUGUCUGCUAUCUCAUUUGUUCAUUUAUUGAUUGUGUUGUUAUUAUUAUUAUUAUUAUUAUUAUUAUUAUUUUGGUGUCAAGCUUUUUGAGUUCUUUAUAUAUUCUGGAUAUUAAUCCCCUGUUACAAGAGUAGCUGGCAAAGAUUUUUCUUGCAUUCUUGUUUCCUUUGGUGUGAAGAAGCCAAUUUAUUCUCCCCAUACUUUUAUUGUUCCAUUUUAUAAUUAUAUAUAAUGGUGGGAUUCAUUGUUACAUAUUUGUAUGUGCACACAAUAUAACAGUGUAAUUUGGUUGAUAUUUUCCCCUAGUAUUUCCUCUUUUCCUCUCAUUCUCCAUCCCCCUUGUCCCUUUCCUCUAUUCUACUGGUCUCCAUUCUAUGUUCAUGAGAGCUAACCCACUCCCAACCCUUUUUUUUUUCUCUGUAACUUCCACAUGUGAGAGGAAAAGUGUGACCUUUGACUUUCUGCAUUUGGUUUAUUUCAUUUAAUGUAAUUCUCUCAAGUUCUAACCAUUUUCC